RNAcentral lists this ribosomal RNA (459 nucleotides) under Nocardiaceae bacterium 'ARUP UnID 443'. Its description in RNAcentral is "bacterial SSU rRNA". It matches the Rfam family "Bacterial small subunit ribosomal RNA", at positions 28 to 504 of the family's 1533-position model. The record is from RNAcentral. Lineage: Bacteria; Bacillati; Actinomycetota; Actinomycetes; Mycobacteriales; Nocardiaceae.
GACGAACGCUGGCGGCGUGCUUAACACAUGCAAGUCGAGCGGUAAGGCCCUUCGGGGUACACGAGCGGCGAACGGGUGAGUAACACGUGGGUGAUCUGCCUCGCACUUCGGGAUAAGCCUGGGAAACUGGGUCUAAUACCGGAUAUGACUUCCAGCUGCAUGGUUGGUGGUGGAAAGAUUUAUCGGUGCGAGAUGGGCCCGCGGCCUAUCAGCUUGUUGGUGGGGUAAUGGCCUACCAAGGCGACGACGGGUAGCCGGCCUGAGAGGGCGACCGGCCACACUGGGACUGAGACACGGCCCAGACUCCUACGGGAGGCAGCAGUGGGGAAUAUUGCACAAUGGGCGAAAGCCUGAUGCAGCGACGCCGCGUGAGGGAUGACGGCCUUCGGGUUGUAAACCUCUUUCGACAGGGACGAAGCGCAAGUGACGGUACCUGUAGAAGAAGCACCGGCCAACUAC